AUACGGAGGAUUCGAGCGUUAUCCGGAUUUAUUGGGUUUAAAGGGUGCGCAGGCGGCCAUUUAAGUCAGCGGUUAAAUCGUGGGGCUCAACCCCAUUCUGCCGUUGAUACUGGGUGGCUUGAUUGCGGUCGAGGUUGGCGGAAUUCGUUGUGUAGCGGUGAAAUGCAUAGAUAUGACGAAGAACACCGAUUGCGUAGGCAGCUGACCAGACCGCAAAUGACGCUCAUGCACGAAAGUGCGGGGAUCGAACAGGAUUAGAUACCCUGGUAGUCCGCACAGUAAACGAUGAAUACUUGUUUUCGGCGAUAUAAUGUCGGAGGCAAAGCGAAAGCGAUAAGUAUUCCACCUGGGGAGUACGCCGGCAACGGUGAAACUCAAAGGAAUUGACGGGG
RNAcentral lists this ribosomal RNA (392 nucleotides) under uncultured bacterium. Its description in RNAcentral is "partial 16S ribosomal RNA". It matches the Rfam family "Bacterial small subunit ribosomal RNA", at positions 523 to 918 of the family's 1533-position model. The record is from RNAcentral.